Long non-coding RNA from Cyprinus carpio carpio, 2459 nucleotides. NCBI's taxonomy places the organism in Eukaryota, Metazoa, Chordata, Actinopteri, Cypriniformes, Cyprinidae. The record is from Ensembl.
CUGUUUCUAGGUGUAAGAAAAUGAAUUACUUCAUGAAUUGUGUGUUAGUAGUCAAGAAAAACUGUAAGUAAUCAUGAAUGUUAAAAAGCUUUCUGUGUACCAGAUAAUUAAAAGUACAUUUUAUUUAUGAUUUUAAAUUUAUGAAACAAGUUAGACUUACCACAGUUACCACAUGGGAGGCCAAUGCAAUGAAUUCAAGGGAUGAGUGGUUGUUAUAACUUUCACUGAAAGUUUCAUUUAGACUGUAUCUUAAGUGUAUGCUUCCCUCGUCAAGGGUAGGAGGAUCAGUAUUUGUGCCCUCUGUUGUUGGUGCUACAGUGGUGAACACAUAUGAGGUAUGAGCCUCUGUUACUGGCUUUACUGACGUUAGUGUUGUUGUUGUUGUCGACAUUGUUGUAUAUACAGUUGUAGAAUUGAAUACAGUAGAUGAACCCUUAGCUAGAGUAGUUUUGGUUGAUUCUGGUUUAUUUCUAACAGUUGCUGCUGCUGUUGUCCUUGAUGCAAUUGCUGGCAAUGCUGAUGUCAAUGGAACAAAGGUUGAAGCUUUUGGUGCAGUAGCAGACUUUACUAAGCUUGUUGUUGAUGUUGUAAUUGUAUCUACUGCCACAGAAUGUAUCACAGUAGAUGAAACCUGAGCUAUUGUAGUCUUGGUUGAUUCUGGUUCAUUGCUAAUGGUUGCUGCUGUGGUCGUGCCCGAUGCAGUUGCUGGCAAUGCUGAUGUCACUGGUAAAAAUGUAGAAGCUUUGGGUGUAGUAGCCGACUCUACUAAGCCUGUUGUUGUUGUCACUGUAUUUUCUGUUGUAGUUAUCCUGAUUGUUUUCUGUUCAUUGCUAACAGUUGCUGAUGUGGUUUUGUCCAGUGCAGUUGCAUGCAAAGCUGAUGUUACUGGUGCAAAUGUAGAAGUUCUUGCUGUAGUAGCAGACACUAUUCGGCCUGUUGUUGUUGUCACUGUAUUUCCAGUUGUAGCUAUCCUGAUUGUUUCCGGUUCAUUGCUAACAGUUGCUGAUGUGGUUGUGCCCAAUGCAGUUGCUGGCAAUGCUGAUGUCACCGGUGCAAAUGUAGAAGCUUUGGGUGUAGUAGCAGACUCUACUAGAACUGUUGUUGUUGUCACUGUAUUUUCUGUUGUAGUUAUACUGAUUGUUUCCGGUACAUUGCUAAUAGUUGCUGAUGUGGUUGUGCCCAAUGCAGUUGCAUGUAAAGCAGAUGUCACUGGUACAAACGUAGAAGCUUUAGUUGUAGUAGUAGACUCUACUAGGCCUGUUGUCAUUGUCAAUGUAUCUUCUGUGGUAGCUAUCCUGAUUGUUUCCGGUUCAUUGCUAACAGUUGCUGAUGUGGUUGUGCCCAAUGCAGUUGCCGGCAAAGCUGAUGUUACUGGUGCAAAUGUAGAAUUUUUUGCUGUAGAAGCAGACACUUUUUGGCCUGUUGAUGUUGUCACUGUAUUUUCUGUUGUAGUUAUGCUGACUGUUUCCGGUACAUUGCUAACAGUUGCUGAUGUGGUUGUGCCCAAUGCAGUUGCAUGUAAAGCAGACGUCACAGGUACAAAUGUAGAAGCUUUAGGUGUAGAAGCAGACUCUACUAGGCCUGUUGUCAUUGUCACUGUAUCUUCUGUUGUAGUUAUCCUGAUUGUUUCUGGCUCAUUGCUAACAGUUGCUGAUGUGGUUAUGCCCAAUGCAGUUGCUGGCAAUGCUGAUGUCACCGGUACCAAGGUAGAAGCUUUGGGUGUAGUAGCAGACUCUACUAGGCCUGUUGUUGUUGACACUGUAUUUUCUGUUGCAGUUAUCCUGAUUGUUUCCGGUUCAUUGUUAACAAUUGCUGAUGUGGCUGUGCCCAAUGCAGUUGCUGGCAAGGCUGAUGUCACUUGUAGAAAUGUAGAAGCUUUGGGUGUAGUAGCCGACUCUACUAGGCCUGUUGUUGUUGUCUCUGUAUUUUCUGUUGUAGUUAUACUGAUUGUUUCCGGUACAUUACUAACAGUUGCUGAUGUGGUUGUGCCCAAUGCAGUUGCAUGUAAAGCAGAUGUCACUGGUACAAAUGUAGAAGCUUUGGGUGUACUAGCAGACUGUACUACACCUGUUGUUGUCACUGUAUCUUCUGUUGUAGCUAUCCUGAUUGUUUCCUGUUUAUUGCUAAGAGUUGCUGAUGUGGUUGUACUCAAUGCAGUUGCUGGCAAAGCUGAUGUCACUGGUAAAAAUGUAGAAGCUUUGGGUCUAGUAGCAGACUCUACUAGACCUGUUGUUGUUGUCACUGAAUCAUCUGUUGUAGUUAUCCUUAUUGUUUCUGGCUCAUUGCUAACAGUUGCUGAUGUGGUUGUGCCCAAUGCAGUUGCUGGCAAUGCUGAUGUCACUUGUAGAAAUGUAGAAGCUUUGGGUGUAGUAGCCGACUCUACUAGGCCUGUUGUUGUUGUCUCUGUAUUUUCUGUUGUAGUUAUACUGAUUGUUUCCGGUACAUUACUAACAGUUGCU